This 33484-nucleotide long non-coding RNA is filed under the name Gossypium raimondii (Peruvian cotton). RNAcentral's name for it is "long non-coding RNA (GRAI_LNC003399)". The record is from RNAcentral. Lineage: Eukaryota; Viridiplantae; Streptophyta; Magnoliopsida; Malvales; Malvaceae.
AAAAGUAGAGGCAUUAACAUUUGUCAUCUCUCCUGAAAAAUUAUUUCCAUCCAAAUAUAAAUUCUCCACCCCAUUCGCGCUGAGAAUCACAGGAACUACAUUUCCACUGAAGUUGUUAUUUGAUAGUUUCAAAAUGAUCAGUGAGCCUUUCGUGAUCAACUCUUCUGGUACUUUUCCAUACAAUUGAUUGUUUGAUAGAUCUAAAAAUGAUAAGUACUUCAUGCCACUUAAACAAAGUGGGAUAUUACCUUCAAAAGCAUUCUUGGAUAAGAGUAACCGCCUCAAAUGUGGAAAAGUUGAACAUAUACCAGUCGGAAUUUGACCUUGUAAUUUGUUUUCAGAUAUGUCAAUUGAAGAUACAUUAGAAAUAAGAGCUGACGAACGUGAGAGAGGACCUGUAAAUGAAUUACCCUUCAAGAUGAGUUCUUCUAACUUUGUGUUGUUUUCUAGCAACCAAGUUGGUAAAGUUCCACUGAGAUUGUUAUGAGAAAGAUCCACAUAUCUCAAGUCAUAUUGGUAGUAAAGGAAGGUAGGAACUUUUCGACUGAGUUGUUGAGAUGUUAUGCACUUUGACAAACUGAUGACUUCCAAUUGGAACUUUGGGAUUGAGGUAUAAAAGGAAGGUUCCAAUACCAUUUUGUUUUCAUUACUGGAGAGGGCUUUGAGGUUUGAAAGGUUUGCAAAUGGUGCAAAUGACAGUGGAAUUUGAAAAUGGUUUCUUGAAAUAUCUAACACACGAAGAGAUGUCAAGUUACUAAAACAAUGAGGAAGCAUCCCCUCAAGUGCAUUCUCACUCACUUCCAACACUUCAAGGUUCCUUAGAUCACACCAUCCUGAAAAUUUUAUAAAUUCAUGGAAGAAGUUUCAAUUAAAUCUUGUUUUAUAAAACAGAAUAGGAUAUAAUAUAUUACAGAAAGCACAUACAGCAAUCAAUUUGAGCCAUAAAAUUAUUUACCUUGAUUAGGUAAGGGACCAAUAAGUCCACAAUCAGAUAAAGACAAUGUUUUAAGAGAAGCAAAUACUCCAAUGCUUUGCAAAAUGUUGGUGUUGAGAGUAGAAUUGUCAAGAUAUAUUUCCUCCAAAUUGCUCAACACAUUUGAAUCUAAGCAAUGUCAAGAGGUAUUAGAUAACGGUAUUAUAGAAAGCCUCUACUAAGUGAAAUGCUUUAUUUUCUGUGAAUGAAAUGAAAUAUAUAAAUUUUUUUUAUGAGUGUUAGACUAUUCAUGAUUAUCUGAGAUAAAUUUUGAUGGAGAGAAGAUGUUGAAACUUUAAUAUAACUCUUCAUCCAUUUUAUUAAUUAUACUAUUUUUUUUCUUUUUAGUAUUUUCUUAUAUUAUUUUUUAAUAUAAGUAAUUAACUGAUAUGGCUAAUUUGUAUAAUUUUCAAACUCCAAUCAACAACACUAUAAAUAAUAUUUAUAAAAUAAAACAUUUCUACACUAAAAUUAUUAUAUUACCUUUAAAGUUACCAAUACUUUAAAAAAAAAUAAAAAUAGGUAUUUUACUCACCAAUAAAUAAAAUUCAAAAAUAUAUUUAUAUAUGAAAUUAAAAAAUUUAUAUGUAUUUUUACUUUAAAAAAAUAAAAACAGGUAUUUUACCAAUACUCUAAUAUGUAUUUUUAUGUUUUAUACUAUUAAAAAUAUAUGAAAUUAAAAUAUAGUUAUAUUACAUAUUUUCUCAUAAAUAUAUGUUUUUAUUUAUUUAUAAUAUCAUUUUUUUAUUGUUAUAAUCAUUUUUUAUCUCAUAAAAAUUCAAUAAAUUAUUUUAAAAAAUAUAUUUAUACAAACAAAAUAAUUAUAAACAUUAAUAUUUAAAAAUUAUGAAAAAUUUAAAGAAUUUUAGUUUCAAACCAAAGUCGAAACACAUUAUAAUGGAGGGUUUAGAAAAUGUUUCACCAAACCCAUAUUUUACUUUCAAGUAUGAUAUGAUAUAACUUUAUUAAUAUUUAUGACAAUAACUGUUAUUAUAAUAUCUGAGAUCAAAACUAAAUUUCUAAAUUAAAAAAGAAAAGGAAAUUUAAUUAAAUGAUACCUUGGUGGAUCACAAAAUCUCUCAAUUCAUUAUAGCUCAUAUCUAGUUCCCUUAAUUUGAUAAAUGCUUCCAAAUCUAGGAAAACAAAAACAACAAAUUAAUCAACUCCAUUAUAUUCUCUUAAAACAUUAUUAUAUUCUUGUUAAAAAACUAAUAUUUUUACCUUUCAUAUCUAUUGAUCCUUUCAAUUGAUUGACCCUUAUGCUCAACGAUUUCAAAUUUGAAAGCUUGUUAAGGGAUGCAAAUGCACUAGUAUUGAAGAGAUUUCCAUCUAAAUUAAGCUCUUCCAAGUGGGUCAACUCCAAUUUUCUACCACCAUCUACAAAAGAUUUAUAUAAUUUCAUCACUGAAAUGAAUUGGCAUAAAAUUUAAUUAUAUGUAAGAAUUUAGGUAAUUGGUUAAAUAUAAAUGCAUACCUUUAAAGGAUUGAAAGCUUUCAAUUUGAUUCCCACUUAAAUCGAGUUUCUUCAAAUUUGUUAAAUUGCUCAAUCCUAUACAUAUCCACGUCCAAUUUAAAAAAUCAUUAUGUUAAUAAUUUUAAUUUCUACUUAAUAUUUUAAUGAAAUAAAAAUGAAAAAGAAAGUAAAUCUAAAACUUGAAGUGAAGAUGAAAAUCCUCAAACGUGAAAUGUGAAUGUUCAAAAUUAAAACAAUUGAUUUUAAAAGGUUCUAGAAAGAAUUAUCAAGAAAAACAAAGUUAUAGCUUUAGUACCUUUAGUAUCUAAUGAGCCUUGCAAACUGUUCGACCUCAUAUUCAAGGACUUUAGGCUUGAAAGCCCUUGAAGAAAGGAAAUUGUGUUGUUCCGAAAGAGAUUACCACUCAAAUCAAGUUCCUCUAAGUUUGUUAGCCUCAAUUGUGUUCCAUCUAUCAUUGGAAGAAAAUAAUAUCAUUCAAGAUAAAAAUAGUUAGGAAAAAUGAUUGUUUGAGAAGGAAGAGGCAAUUUACAAGCUUUCCCAUGAAUUGAUAACUACAUUUUACAAGUAAAACUUAAUUGAUUCAAUAUAUAAAUACUUUGUUUGAGAUACCUUCCUAUUUUGAAAUACUGCAACAUUAACUGUCCCUUAAACAAAAAUUGGUUUUAAAGUGAAAAAGAAACAUAUAAAAGCAGUCCACCUUUAAUAUGAAUUGACAUAUAAAUACUGUACUUAUACCUUGGUUUGAGAUGCUUUCAAAUUUCAAUUCUGUUCCAACUUAAAUCCAAGUAUUUCAAGUUUGUCAAAUUAUUCAAUCAUAAAAUUCAAUCCCAAAUAUUGAUUAGUUAUAUAUUCAUCGUAUGAUGAAAUCAAACUUGAAUAUACAUUGAUUUUUAAAGUUGAAAAGAAACAGGUAAAAUCAGUCUACCUUGAAUAUGAUCCAUCCUUCCUUUCAACUCAUUACCACUCAAUCUUAAAGUCUUCAAGGAUGAAAGAUUUCUCAUAUGGAACAAAAUGCUAUUCUUCAAAGAAUUCCAACUUAAAUCAAGAGUUUCCAAGUUAUUGAGUCUUGAAAGCAAUUGAAAACCUGAUAUAUAUACAUAAUUACUUGUUAAUUGUUUUUUUCUUUCUUUGCUAUAUGAAAAUUUUACUAAAGCAAUAGUGGAAUUACAACGGAUAAAAAGAAUGGAAAACUAGGUACCAAACCCAGAAGACCAUCCUCAAACUCCACUAUACAAAUAAAAACUAACACCAGACCAAACUUAAUUUACCUCUUAGAUGACUUGAUCCUUCUAAUUUGUUGUGUGAUAGAUCUAAAUACCGGAGAGAUGAAAGCUCACUCAAAGAUAACAAAAUGCUGUCAUUCAAGUAGUUUUCACUUAAGUCAAGGAUCUCCAAAUUACUCAACGUGGAUGAUAGUUUUCCAAAGCCUAUAGAAAUAUUCUUUUAAAUAUAUACAAGUUAGUGACUUUUCUUCCAUAAAAUAAAAUAAAAUAUAAGUAAUUGCAAAUUAACGAUGGUGAGAGUAGUGGAAUAAUAAAAGAUGUAAUUAAGGAAAAACUAGAGGCACGACCUUCAUUUUCAAGAUUACCACUUAUGGCAUUCCCCGACAAAUAAAGACUCUUCAAUUCCUCAAAGGGAAGAAACAUAGAGGCAUUGAGAUACCAGGCAUUGAGAUUCCUAUUAUCCAUGUCGUAUUCCCAUUUUGUAGAAUUAAGGGAGAGUUGUAUGAGUCUCCUAGUGGUGGUGUUACACUCAACUCUUUCCCAUUUACAACAAUCUGAACCCUUCACCUCAACCCAACUAUUCAAUUGAUUACCAUCAUUGAAGAAAGGUUUGAGAUGCAAGAGAGCGAUUCUCUCAUGCUCCAAACAAGCAUCAGUAGUACACCAUCUGCAUCCUUCUAACACCAACAACAUUACUGCCAUCCUAAUAAACCUUAACCAUUUCCACUUCAUCAUCAUCAUCAUCUCUCUGUUUUCACUUCUCUCUCAGCUAUAUGUUACUUUUUUUUAACUUCUAUAUGUAUAUAAUCUAAAGAAGCCUAAGCUUCUUAUUUAUAUACAAGCAGAUGCAUCCCACUAACUCACUAUAAUGUAAAAAUAAUAUAUAAUUAAUUAAUUCCUCAAAAAUUGGAUCAAAAUCUAGGCUUCUUAUUUACGUAAAUUAUUUAUUGCAAAAACUCUUAGUGGAAAUUCGUUAGGAAGGGAUGAAGGGGCCACAAGAAUAUUGAUGUUAAUCUUGAAAAACGAAUGGCCAAAAAAAUAUGAAAAGUGAGAGGUGGACAUAAAAUCGUAUAGUUGGGAUUGCAAAAGUCUUCAUGUGGCUUUCUUGUGAGUUUCAUUUAUACCCUUCUUACACUUAUACAAACUUAGUCUUGACUUGGCUUUAUUAAUGGAAAAUUUAGGUCUUCAUUUUUGGUUUUAUUCAUAGAAAUUUUACUUCUUUGAUUUUGGUUUUAUUAAUGGAAAUUUUAAGUCUUCAGUUUGCUUUUAUUCUUGCACAUUUUAGGUUUUGAUUUUGAAAAUUUAGUUUUUUCAUCUCUAUUAUUAUAAAAUUUCUUAAUUUAAUUAAUAUCAUGAGUUAAUUUAAUACUUUAAAAAAUAAAAUAUUACAUUCACUAUUUUUUAAAAAAUAAAAGUAACUAUAAAAUUUUAUUAUUUAUAUAAUAUUUAAAAAAAAACUAUUUAUUUCUACUAGACCACUACUUUAAAACUAUCCAUUAUCAUAUUGUAAUAGGCCCAAUUUGCCCGGGCCCGGUAAAUAAAUAAAACCAAUAAAAUCAAAUAAAAAAUAGUCCCAAAACAGUCCAUUUACAAUGACCCAAUACCAACCCAAUGGCCUAAAUCUCUACCCAAGCCCGAAUCUAAACCUAAACAGGCCCAAAACCCACUAAACCUAAUGGCCCAAUACCCAGCUUGGCUGAGACAAACCCUAGCCUUCAGCAGCUUUCUGCUCUUGCGCUGCAGCCAAGCCGCUCCUCACGUACGAGCCUCAUUCAUGCGCCGCACCGAGCAACGCCAUCGCCAGGGACCACGCCUGUACUGUGCCACGCGAGCCUCCGUACAUGCGCGCCCGUUCACCUCUGUACCAGUACCUGCAAAUACACACAAGAAGCAGCGAAGCAACAAAAAAAAAGAGAAAAUAGCAGUAGAAAAAUAGGGGAUUUUCAGUUUUUAUUUGAUUUUUCUGGCUAUAAAAGCCAAACACGCAGAUUGUAUCAUAGGGGGAACUCACGCAUAUUGCAAAAAAACAAGGGGCAGAAAAUCAAUACAAAAAAAAAAAGAAAAGGUUUUCUCUUCCUUCAGGUCUCUUUUCUUCUCCAAUUGUUUCUUUUCUUUUUCGAUUGUUAUUAGCCUCAUAUAAGUAUAGAUAUAUAUAGAGUAAAUAAUAACAAAAAGGGGGGGUUAAAACGUACCUGGUGAUGCCUUUGAAUCCACGCGAAGAAGCCAAAAAGCCUUGAAUGGUGAGGCUCCGACCACCAUUCGCAGUGGAAUCAAGGCGGAGGGGCGGACUGACGGCACUGAAGACUAGGGUGAAACCCUAGCAGAGGAAACAAUAAGCAAUUUUUUUUAAAAACGAGUCUGCUAAUGUUUUUUUUAGGGUAAAUUUUGUUUAAAUAAUGAUACAAUACGGAGCCGUUUUGGGCUAGGGUUCCUAGCGUCCAAACGACGUCGUUUAGAGGCCUUACCCAAUGACCCGAUCCAGAUGGCGGCUAGAUCCGCGUGUUUGGUAGGGGGAGGGGAAAUUUCGCGAAGAGUCCCUCUUGUUUUGUGCCGUUUCGGUUUGAUUUUCUUCAUUGUUUUUAAUUUGAAUCGCGUAUUUUAUUUUGUUUUCAAUUUGAUCCACAGUUAAACGGCGCCGUUUUCACUAAUCGGAUUUGAGCAUCCGAACAUUUGUGUUUAUUUUCUGUUUUAGUCCUCUCUGUUAUUUUUUAUUAUGAUUUUUACCCUCCUAUUUUAUUUUCACCCUAAUUUAGUCCCGAAACUGUUAGAUUUCACUUUAUUUAUGCAAUGUAUAUAUUUAUUUAUUUUAAACUUUAUAUUAUUUAUUUUAAAUCGUUCUAUUACUAUUUAUUUUAAGCCUUUUUUACAUAUUAUAUGUUUUAAAUUAUGUUAAUCAAUUAUUCAUUUUAAAUAUAUAUUAUUUAUGUUAAACUACAAAUGUAUAUUAUUUAUUUGGAAUUGUUCUUAUGCACAUCAUGCAUUAUCAUUUUUAAAAAAAUAAUAAUAAUAGAAUUUGUUUGCAUAUUGUUCAUUUAGGAUUCCUUCUCACACAUUACUUAUUUUAAACGUUUUACAUAUUAUUUUAAAUUGUUUUAUAUGUUUUUUUUUAAAUGCUUUGAAGAUUAUUCAUUUUAACUUGUUUUACACAUUAUUUUAAUAUGUAUGGAAUUGCUUUAAUAUAUAUAUACGUGAAUAAAACGUAUUGUAACUGGUAAUUUCUAAAAUUUUAUUCUACGUUUUAAAAUUUUUAUCAUUUCGAUUAUGUUGAUUGGUUUACUUGGGAUUAAAUUAUUAUUGCAUUGAUUAUUCUUUUUUUUGAUUUUUUUGUUAGAUUGAUUAUUAGUUUAUUUGAUUAUCAAUGUUGAUGUAUUAUAUGUUUGGUUGCUCCAAAUUGUAAAUUUAGCUUGCUAUUCACCAUUUGAUUAGUAUAUUGAUAUUUUAUUAUAUUGUUUGUAAAAAUUGCAUUUCAUUAAAGCAUUACAAUUGUUUUAUUUCAAAAUUCUCAAAAAGCUUGGUAUUUAAAAAUUCUCGAGAGGAUUGUGCCCUAACUUACUGGGCUUACCUUUUUUAAUUUGAACAUAGAAGUUUCAAAAUAAAAGCUCAUUCUCGGGAAUUUGACACGUUGUGUCCUAACGCAUUGAAUAUGACUAUUAUUUUCUCGAGAUGAGGAUUUUAAGGCAAUGUUCGAUAUUUAGGAAUUUUGUGAAAUCGAACCCUAACUUACUGGGUUUUGAUUUUCUCAUUUGACCCAGAUAAUCGGACAUCCUCCUCAAAAUGCAUAGGUUUUAAAAGACGAGAGAUAAACUUAACUUGGAGGACUUAAAAUGUUGCACUCUAACUUACUAAGGGUGACGAUUUAUUUCUUUGAAAUAAGUGAGUCUCGUCGUCCAAUUCAUUUUAUUCAAAAUAAAAGGAUCAAAUUUUAAAAUCUUUUCAAAAUUUUGACAUUAAGACAUUAAACAUUCCAAUCGGUACCAAUUUUGGGCGUCACGAGGGUGCUAACCCUUCCUCGUGCGUAACCAACUCCCGAACCCGUUUUCUCAAAAAUUCGCAGACCUAAAAUUAUUUUCAAGGUGAUCCGCACACCACAAUAAAAGAUCGGUGGCGACUCCAUUUCCAUUUUCAAAAUUGAUCCCCAUUUUUCAAAUUACAAAAAAAUGGCUUCGACACAUAUAACUUCUCUUUAAUAAUUCACUAUUCUUUGAACAUUCAUUAGUUUUUGAAACAUAAAAUUUAUAAAUAAUUAUUUUUAGAGUAAACUACACCCAUGGUCACUUUUGUUUACCUUAGGUUACAUUUCAGUCACUUAUGUUUGAAAUGUUACGUUUUAGUCACUUAAGUUAUUGUGUUGUAACAUUUUAGUCACUGAGCCGUUAGUUGUCGUUAAUGGCUGACGUGGCACGUUAAAUUAUCAUUUCAAACAAAAACUUUAGGUUAAAUUAUACAAUUGGUUUCCAUAAUUUUUCGUUUUGAGCAAUUUAAUUCUUUUAUGCUCUUUAACUUUCUUUCUUUUUUUUCUUUAUUUUCCAUUCUCUUCUGCUUCUCCCUGUUUUCCUACAUUCUUUAUUUCUUUUAACAUAUCAGGAAGUCGAAUUGGUAGUGAAGAAAGAAGCAUGGUAUGGGUUUAUGGGCUUUGGUUAUGGGCAAAUGAUGACAGUCGACUUCCUACUUCUUUUUUCACUGUCAAUUCGACUUCCUAAUAUGUUAAAAGAAAUGGGAAAAGUAUGAAAACAGAGAGAGAAACAAAAAAGAAUGGAAAAAAAGAGGAAAGUUUAAAGAACAUAAAAGAAAAAAAAUUAAAUUACUUAAAACGAAAAAAAUAUGGGGAUCAAUUGUAUAAUUUAACCUAAAAUUUUGUUUGAAAUGAUGAUUUAACGUGCCACGUCAGCUUACCGUUACACCAUUAACGACGAUUAAUCGCUCAGUGACUAAAAUUUUACAACAUGAUAACAUAAAUGACUAAAACGUAACAUUUUAAACAUAAGUGACUAAAACGUAACCUAAGGUAAAUAAAAGUGACCAUGGGUGUAGUUUACCCUUAUUUUUAAUAUGACUUGAUUUUUACUUGAAUCAUUUUUGUAAUUAGUUAAUUAAAUUGGGUUAUUUUAAAAAAAUCCUCUUAACUAAUAGCCAAAAAAAAAAAAGCCAUCAUGUAGAAAAUUCUGGUUUGUUGGAAAAAUAAAGACUUGACCUAUUACUUUAGAUUUUGAAAUGUUCAACUUGAUAUUGACAUAUGAUAAUAUGUACAAAUUUCUCAUUCUUUUAAAUUUCAGUGAUAUUACAUGUAUGAUAAUAUGUUUGCCACACCAAAUUUGAAAAUAGUAGAACUUAAUGAAUUUAACAGAUAUCUAAAAUAUCAAAUUAAAGUCUAGGAAUUAAAGCUACAACAUCAGUAAAGUACAAGAACUAUGGUAGAAUUAAACCUUUAUAUAAUAAUUUCCUUCUAUGAACCACAAUUCAAGUGCACCCGACAAGCUAAUUAAUAAAAAUUUAGUGGUAGAAUAUGUAUAUUCUUGUGGGUGGAAAUUUAGUGGAGAUGCCCAUCAUCUUUCCUAAUUAAUAAAAAUGAAGACUUAGAAAAUGUGCAAUCAUAAUCCUAGUUGUCGUUAUGGCCCCAAGAAUAGGUAUAUUAAUUUGUCUCUCUUCAGGAUCAAAGAUAAAUAAUAAAUUUUAUAAAGUUAAAACCAUAAUUCUAUAAUUAUAUUAAUGUAUAAUUUCAUAAAAUUUUAAAAAAUGUAUCUUUCAACUUUUUUAAGUAAAUUGAUAAUUCGUUAACUCAUAAUAUUUUUUUUUUCAAAAUAUUUAUGAGAACGAGUUCGUAUUCUAUUGUGUGGAAAAUUUUAGUACAGAUAUUGGUGAAGCCAAAUCCAACUUGUUUGACCAAGAAAGUCUCUGUCGUGUGGAAAAUUUUAGUUUUGUGGAAAAUGGACAUUACCAUUUCCUUGAAUGACCAUCAAUUUCUCCAUUGAGAUAUAGUAAGAGGGAGUGAAAUAUAUAUAAGGUAAUAUUUAAUGUAUUCACACCAAAUUUCAUUAAUGAGUAAAACAAAUAAUGAAUAAUAAUGAAAAUUGGAGGAAAUUGUUAAGAAAAUAUCAUUACAUAUAUCAACACUCACAUAAUUCAUUGUAUUAACUUUCAAAUGUUGACUAUUGACUUCUACAUCAACCUUGAGCUUAUAUAGGCCCCCCUCACGGAAAUAAUCUCACAUUUAAUGCCUAGAGGUGCUUAUGGGCCGGGCCGGGCCCAGAAAAAAUUUUAGCCCGGGCCCGGCUCGGCCCGAAAUAUGGGCCUGAAAUUUUGCCCAAGCCCGGCCCGGUAAAAAAUUCAUAAGCCCGAGCCCGGCCAUUUUUUAAAUAAAUACCAAAAAUUUAUUUUAAAAUUAAAAAAAUUUAAAAAAAGUAUUUUAAAAAUAUUUUAAAUAAAUACCAAAAAUUCACCCUGCAUCUAAAAGGAGGUCCAGCACUCGAAUCCCAUUCCCCAUAACUAAAAACCAUGUCACUGUGACUUGGUCAUAUCUCCGUUCAAAGUCGGACAUGGGUAGUUAAAGAAAAAUGAAGAGUCGAUGCAUGAUAGACUAAGGACUAGCUCAAAAGUGCUUUUAGAAAAAAUUGCUCUUGAAAAGAGGUGUGGAAAAGUGUGCUUGUUAGUUUUUAGUGUUGUUCAUUGCUGCCAAAAAUCGCAAUUGAAAGUUAAAAUGUUCUUUUUAGACAUGAUAGUAGAAAGUAAAAAAUUAGUCAAGUCAUAUGAUUUUUAAAUAAUUUAAUAUAAUGAUACAUGAAAUAUAACUUUUAAAUACCUUUUAAGUAAUUAAUAUAAAUUAGUUGUAAAAUUGAUAAUAUAUAAAAUAUUUUGAAAAAAAUAAAUAUAAUAAUAAAUAAGAUUUAAACAAUUUAAUAUAAUAAUAUAUAAAAUAUAAAUUAAUCUAAUUUUUAUAUACCUUUUAAAUAGUUAAUGAAAAUAAUAGUAUUUUGAUAAUUUUCCCUUUGAAAUGCAAAAGCCAAAAACAGUUUUUGACUACAAAAGCUAUGUGUUGUUCAUCACUUCUGCAGUGGAAAAACACUUCUCCAUGGUGUAAAAACACUUUUACCCAAAAAGGCUUUUUCACCACAGUAGAGAAUGCACCCUAAAAUUGUAAAUAGAAAAAGGAAGAACCAAACAUUGUUUCUACCCUGUUUUUGUCUCCUCUUUGAAAAUACUUUCCAAAAGUUUUAUCAUUUUUUUUUCUGUUUACGAUGCCUUAAAUGCAAAUUCCUUAUAGAAGUGCUUUCUUUUGAUCCACUUGCAUCAUUGUAAUAAGUUUGCAUUGCCUUCUUUCUAUGUUGAUUAUCGUUUAUUAAGUUUUCUGUUGGAUCUUAUAGUCAAAUUCCUUUACAUCAUGUAUGUUAAUUUGCUUAGCCCUGAUAAAUGUUAGAUAUAGGGUUAUCAGCUAAUUAGGAAAGACUGUAAUGAUAGUCACACCUUACAUCCAAAUUUUUACAUUGAGGUUCCUUAUUAUUUUUUCUUGUUUCACCAAUUGCAUCCUAUUUACAGUUCCUUAGCGUUAUCCACUGUGCUAGGGUGGUUCUUGUUCAUAUAUUAAUCACCAUGCGCCUUCAGCAAAUGCAAAGCCAGCCAGCAUCUUCUGAUUUGUCAUUGGAUACUACACUUUCAGCAAAUGUAAAGCCGCCAGAUUUUCAGCUGUUUUUAGAAGGUCAAGACACAACAAGAGCAACAUAUGUUGUAUUCUUGUCAAACAAGAUAAGUUUUCGCAUAUUAACGAUUCUUUUUCCAAGAUGAAUUAUUCUCCUGUUGCAUUUUUAUUUGGGUUCAAAUGUUCUGUGAAGUUAGCUUGCCAGUGCUUGUUUGUUCAUCAGCAUUUACAGCUCAUUUGUCAUUGGUCAGCAGAAUUUCCGCUGUUUUUAGAAGGUCAAGACACAACAAGAUCAGCAUAUGUUGUAUCUAACAUUUAUAUUCAACAACUGGAAACCAUGUCAUAAAUACAUAUGAAAAAUAUUUAAAAAUCCUUGGUUGAAUACUCGUGCACUAACAUUUUUUAAAAGUUAAUUUUGUGUUACUUUUUUCAUCUCUAUUAUUAUAAAAUUUCCUGAUUUACUUGAUAUCACGACUUAAUUUAGCAUUUAAAAAAUGGAAUAUUACAUUCACUAUUUUUUUAAAAAUAGGAGUAACUAUCAAAAUUAAUUAUUUAUAUAAUCUUUUUUAUAAAAACUAUUUAUUUCUACUAAACCACUACUUUAAAACUACCCAUUAUCAUACAACUUCUCUUUAAUAAUUCACUAUUCUUUCAAACAUUCAUUAGUUUUUCAAACAUAAAAUUUAUAAAUAAUUAUUUUUACCUACAUUUUGAAUGAUGCAAUUUCUAACUAUACACUAAAAUACUCCAUUUAUCAAUUUAAUUUAAUUCAAAGAAUUAUGAUAAUAAUUGAAAUUUCAAAAAAGGAAAAAAACUAGAUAAUUGAAUAUUUAUAUACAAAAAUAAAACAAACAAGACAGACUUAAGCUUUCUUACCCCAAAGACAAGAUCUUUAUUCAAAAUGCAAAACUAGCAAAAUACUCCCUAAAAUUCAUCUAAACACAUCUUCUAAAGAUGUAAUACCCAAGAAGAUUGCCCACAGUUGGUGAUGCACUUCCCAACGAAAGAAAACCAAACUCCUCGCCAAUAUGGAUUUAUGUAAAGGAUAGCAACAAUUGUUAACAACAUAACUACAUAAGAAGCCAAAAAGCUCACACAAAAAACAUAUGUGUCUAGAAAACUAUCUUCUCUUUCAUCAUCUGAUAUUGUUGAUAUUGAACCGGUUUUGGAGCAACUUAUAUGAAGUAUAGGUCCACAGAGAAAAGGGUUCCCCUCGUAACUGCUUUCAAUGAAAGUCCCAAAUUGGUUUUGUUCUGGAAUACUACCUGACAAGUUGUUGUGUGCAACACUGAAAACCCCCAGAGAGUUCAAAUCUACCAGCUGGUUUGGGAUUUCACCACUCAAGUUGUUGUAAGAAAGAUCCAAACUCUCAAUCUGCUUAAGUUUUGAGAAUGAUGAAGGUAUAACUCCGACCAACUUAUUGCGUGACAAGUUCAAAGAAUGGAUUUCACGCAAGUUCCCUAAUUCAAGUGGGAUUUGACCAGUUAACUCAUUGCAAGAUAAAUCAAUCCCAGACAUGUAUUCAAGGAUGUCGCCUCCAUAUGAGAAAGAUCCACUCUUUGUGGUAAACUCUACCGAUUCUUUCAUGUAGCUAUAGGAAUGCAUCAUGUGCUCGAAAAGUAUACCCGUCUUUAAUAGUUUCAAUUCAUCCAGUUCUGAAAAUGUUGGCGACAUUAAAUCUGGUGUCAUGGUCUUAUCCUUAUUCAUUGGAAGAGUUAAAUUUCCCAAACAAGAAGGUAUAGGACCGGAAAACCUAUUUUGAGAAAGAUCUAUAAUGCUCAAGGAAUACAAGGUGCAUAACUGGACUGGAAUUCUUCCCUGUAAAUGAUUAGCUUUCAAGAGAAGGACACUCAAAGAAGAAAGUGUGUCGAUCCAUUUUGGAAUACCACCAGUAAAAUUGUUUCCUCUAAGAUCUAAUGUCACUAGUGAAGUGCUUUUAUUAAAAGCAAGUGACAAUGGACCACCCAGUCUAUUAUUGUGCAGGUGGACAUGCUCUAGGUUUGGAGGAUUAAAACAAGAUGGUAUAGAGCCAGAUAAAUUAUUUUCAGAAAGAUCCAAAAAUUUGAAGUUAUUCAAGUUGCAAAAUUCCACUGGAAUAGAACCCUCGACACCAUUGUUAGACAAGUCUAAUCUCUCCAAAAGUGACAUAUUCCCUAUCCAUCUUGGAAGCUUUCCAUGCAAUCUGUUGUUACUGAGAUCAAUAUCUGUUAGUGAUGUUGGAAACUGAAAAGUAGAGACAUCAAAAUUUGUCAUCUCUCCAGAAAAAUUAUUUCCAUCCAAAUAUAAUUUUUGUAACCCAUUUGCAUUGAGAAUCACAGGAACUACAUUUCCAUUGAGGUUGUUGUUUGACAGUCUCAAAAGAAAUAGUGAGCUUUUCCUGACCAACUCUUGAGGUACUUUUCCAGCCAAUUGAUUGUUUGAUAGAUCUAACAUUGACAAAUUCUUCAUGGCGCUUAAACAAGGAGGGAUAUUGCCUUGAAAGGCAUUCUUGGAUAAGAAUAACUGCUCCAAAUGUGGAAAAGUUGAACAUAUAUUGGUUGGAAGCGGACCUUGUAUUUUGUUGUCAGACAUGUCGAUUGAAGAUACAUUUGAAUUAGGAGUCGACAGUAAUGUGAGAGGACCUGUAAAAGAAUUACCCUUCAAGAUGAGAUCUUCUAACUUUGUGUUGUUUUCUAACAACCAAAAUGGGACAGUUCCACUGAAAUUGUUCUGAGAAAGAUCCACAAAUCUCAAGUCAUUUUGGUAGUAAAGGAAGGUAGGAAGUUCAAGACUGAGUUGUUGAGAUGUUCUGCACUUGGACAAACUAAUGAAUUUCAAUUGGAAUUUCGGGACUAAGGUGUGGAAGGAAGGUUCCAUUUCCAACUUGUUUUCAUCAGCCAAGAGGACCUCAAGGUUUGGAAAGUUUGCAAGUGGUACGAAUGAAAUUGGAAUUUGAAAAUGAUUACUUGAAAGAGAAAUGGCUCUGAGUGAUGUAAGACUUGCUAAAGGAGUUAGAUUUCCGGAAAAUCGAUUGUUGGAGAUAUCUAACUCACGAAGAGAUGUCAAGUUACUGAAACAAUGAGGAAGCAUCCCCUCAAGUGCAUUCCAACUCACAUCCAACACUUCAAGGUUCCUUAGAUCACACCAUCCUGAAAAAUUUAUGAAAUCAUGGAAGAAUUUCUAAUUAAAUUUGGUUUUCUAAAACAGAAUAGGAGAAAUCAGAUAAAGAAAAGGUCGUAUAGAAAAUUUUACCGUGAUCAGGUAAGGAACCAAUAAGUGCACACCUAUAUAGAGACAAAGUUUGAAGAGAAGUGAAUACUCCAAUGCUUUGCAAAAUGUUGAUGUUGAGACGAGAAUAAUCGAGAUUUAUUUCCUCCAAGUUGCUUAAUUCUAAUCAAUGAAAAGAGGUAGUAGGUGUUAAUGAAACGUAAGUUGUUUUGGAAUAGAAGAAGUAUUAGAUGUUAAUCAAGAAAAGGUGUUUACCUGAUGAGAAAGCCUCUACUAAGUUUUCUAGCGGAAUGCUAUCGUCGGUGACAAUACUUUGGAGACGAAGAACUUUUAACUUUUUCAAUCCCUUGUUUUCUGUGAGCGAAAAUAUUUUGAUAAAAAUUGUGAAAACUUCAACAUGAUUGCACUAAUUGUUUUUCUUUUCUUUCUAGCAUUUUAAGAUAAAUAAUGUGUAAAAUAGAAUUUUCCUUUAUUGAGAUCAUUAUAUUACUUUAAAUUUAUCACCACUAAAUAGAAAAUUAUUAUUAAAUCAAAGUUUUAAAUUUAUUAUUACUUAAAUGUUGUUUAUGCUGGGUGAUUUUGAUGAGAAUAAUUUAUUAUAUAAAAAUAAAAGUAUAUUUCUUAAAGUAAAAUAAGAGAAAUAUUUUAAAUUUUUUUGAAAGUGUUUAUAUACAUAUUACACUUAAUCACUCUUUUGAAAAUUCUAAUUACUCUUUUAAAUUUUAUGUUAAUUUUAAAAAGUAUAUAUAAUUUCAACAGAAAUAUUACUUUAAUAUUAAAAUGAAGAGCUUUUGUGGGUAAAAAAAAUUAUAUGAGUUUAUUUAAUUACAAAAAUAAUUUAAGAAUUUAUUUAAAAAAUAUGUAGUUGUUUUAGGCUCGAUCCUAGGGGUUAUUUGAGAGUGCGGUCGCCCAGGGCUGGAAGGGGCCCAAUUUUUUUUUCAGAUUUUAAUAUGGGAAAAUAUUCAGACUAAAAUAAAUAAAUAAAUUGCCUAGAGCUUUCAAAUUUUCACCAUAAAUACUUCAUCUCCUAUGGCUAAAAAAUUUUUCAGCUUUUAUUGUAUUACAUUUUAUAAUAUUUUUAAAAAGACUCGUUUAAAGACUUUUUUAAGUAUAUUAACCUAUUUUAAAAUUCCACAUUUUUAAAAUGUCUUAAUUUUCAAAUUAAAGUACAAACACACUAUAAUCCACAAGCCUUAAUUGCCAUGUCAACAUAAACCACCAUUUAGAAGAUUGUUUUCAUUUUUUAAAAAAUAAAAAAAAAUUAUUUAAAUGAUACCUUUGUGGACCACAAAGCCUCUCAAUUGAUUCCCACUCAUAUCUAGUUUCUGUAAGUUAGUAAAUGCAUCCAAAUCUGGGAAAGAAACAGAUAAGCUUCAUUAAAUCAUUCCAAAACAUGAUUAAUAUUUUUGUCUAUAGAGGCAUAAUUUGUCAAAAAAUAAUAAUUUUACCUUUCAUAUCUAUUAAUCCAUUCAAUUGAUUGAAACCUAUGCUCAAAGAUUUCAGAUUUGAAAGCUUGUUUAGAGUUGCAAAUACACUGUUAUUGAAGAGAUUUGCUUCUAAAUUAAGCUCUUCUAAAUGGGUUAACUCCAAUUUCUUACCUUCAUCUACAAAAGAUUUAACGUAAUUUCAUCAAUGAAAAAAAUGAUAUAAAUUUAAUUAUGUGUAAUAAAUUAUUUAACUGAACCCUAAAUUGUGGGUUAAUGGUUCAAGUGUUCGAAUUAUCAUUGUGUAAAAAAAACAAACUUAAUUAACGGACCAAAAUAUAAAUACAUACCUUUGAAGGAUUGAAAGUUUACCAUUUGAUUCCACCUUAAAUCCAACGUCUUCAAAAUUUUCAAAUUAUUCAAUCCUAUAUAUACUCAAGUUGAACAAAUAUUUUAAUAACUUGGCUGAAGUGAAAAGGGUAAAAGUAAGGAAGUUGAAAAAUCCCCAAAAGUGAAAGUACUAAUUUGAAACAAAUAAUUAUAAAGGGUCCUACAUAAGUAAGGACUUUAUGCUUGAAAGCCUUCAAGGAAGGAAAAUGUGUGGUUUCCAUGGGAUCUAAUUAUAAUCCUUGUUUGCUGGAUUCCACCUUUUUUAUUUGGCCAACAAAAAAUAAAUAAAUAAUAUAAAAAAAUUGUGAUUACUAAGGCUUCAACCUUGAAGUUUAAAUAGAAUUAUUCAAUCCCAAAAAUUGACCAAAAAUUUCCCUCAAACAAAACUUAACUUUAAAGUAGAAACAAAACCAGAGAAAGGCAAUCUACCUUGAAUAUGAGGCCACUUUCCUUCUAAUAGGUUGUAAGCUAGAUUUAAAUAUUGGAGAGAUGAAAAUUGGCUCAAAGAUAAUAUAAAGCUAUCAUUCAGAUGAUUUUGACUUAAGUCAAGGAACUGCAGAUUUCUGAAUGUGGAUGAUAGCUUUUCAAAACCUGCAGAGUUAAUAAUAACAAGUAAUCGCAAAAUUAACAGUAAGUUGUGUUGAAAAUAUGUGUACAUAAUAGAGUAACUAAAGAUGAAAUGAAGGGCAAAUCAAAUAUAGAACCUUCAUUUUCAACACAACCGGCUAUGCCACUCCCUGUCAAAUAAAGCCUCUUUAAUUCCUUGAAGGGAAGAAACAAAGAGGCAUUCAGAUACCAAUAAUCCAAGUAUCCGGACCUCAUAGAAUCAAGAGAGAGUCCAAUGAGUCUCCCAGUGGUGGUGUUGCACUCAAUCCCUUUCCAUUUACAACAAUCUGAACCUUUAACCUCGUCCCAGCUGUCGAACUCAUUAUAGUGAUUGAAGAAAGGUUUGAGUUGCAAGAGAGCAACUCUCUCAUGCUCCACACAAGCAUCAAUAGUGCACCACCUGCAUCCUUCUAACAGUAGCAGCACACUCAUCACUGCCAUCCUCAUAAACCACAACCAUUUGGAGUCCAUCAUCUCUCUGUUUUUGCUUCUCUCUCAAUUGUAUGCUACUUCAAACUUCUAUUGCAUUAGCCUUCAUGAAACUUGUUAUUUAAAGACAAGGACCUAAGGCUGAAGGCAACCCACUAGUCCACGCUGAAAUAGUCCACUGAAUGUGACGAUAUAUAGGCCCUACAAAGUGUGGUUGUGGAAAUAAUCUAAACACCUAUCCUCCAAAUUAAUACUAUUCCUUGAGAAAUUAUUAAAGGUCAAUUUCUGGUUUUAGUCCCUACGCAAAAUUCAUUUUGAAGGUUUAGUUUUUAUAUAAUUUAAGAUCAAAUUUUUAUAAUUAAAUUAUCAUUUACGUCUGCUUUAAAAUUAUGAAAAAAAUAUUUUAAAAAUAUAACGAACUCCAGCUACAGCUUCAAAAUAUGAUGAAGAUGUUUUAGUAGAAUAAAUCGCAGAAUCCGCCAUCUUUGACUUUUGUUUUCUUAUUGUGAGAAUAUCUUAACAUUAUAACUUUUGAAUAUAUUUUGUUAUUUCAGUUAUUAAUUUAGAUCAUAUACAAAUUUCUUUCGUGAUAGUCUCAUUUAGAUUUGAAGUUUGUUGUUGGAUUUGAAGUUACAGGAAAAUAUGUUGAAAAUUUGGGUUUAAUAUUAAAUAAAAUGGGUUGGUAAAAUCUAUUAAUGUUAGUGGCGUUUUCCCACAAAUGCCACUAUAGAACAUGAUCUUUAGCUGCGCUUUUACUACAAACAUUGCUAAAAAACAUGAUUUUUUGUGGUACUUCUAGCUAUAAAUGCCACAACAUGCUUGACUCUUUUAUAGUGUUUUUCCAAAUGAACGCCGCAAAUUUUAGCGGCGCUAUCUAAAGCGACUUUUUACUGGCACUUAUCAAAGCGCCGCAAUCUGUUUUAGCGGCACUUAUAAGCACCGCCAUAGGGCCAAAAAAACACCGCUAAAAACCUAUUUUGCUGUAGUGAUUUACGCAUUUAUAAGCCUACAAAAUAAUCACGGAUUCAAUUUUAGAGUCCGUUAUCAGCCCCUAAUCGGGACAUCAAAUUGACCAAAAAGGGCCCACAUGACCUACCUGUUCAACUUGUGUAAUUGCACACGCCUAAGUGCUCCACACGGCCUGGCACACGGCCAACUACACAUCAAUGUGGUGCACAUGAACUUGUGACGCAGAGUAGCUUUGAAAAUUGUAACCUCCCAAACCCGGCCUAGAUGUUAUGACUAGAUUGAGAAGGCUACAAUAGCCACCGAAAUGGCUAAGCUAACUUACGUUACUUUUGAAGACCUUAAAUAAACUCAUUUUAGAGAAAACCGUAGUUGUACUUUGAGUUAGCUUAAAAGCAUUCAUUCAUUAGGUCGUGUAUACUUAGGAUUCAUUUUAUUGUUGAUAGUGUUGUUUUACAAAAAUAGUUUGCUUAUCGCUCUUCUUUUAAAAAAAACUCGAUGGUAAACUAAUGUGCGGAAAAACCAUUUUUCAAGUCAUUUUGGAAACUUAGUUGCCUUAACGAUUUGUUUUUCAGAAACAAUUCCUUUUUAAUGCAGCGGAAACUAGGGAACAAUAUCAAAUUUUACUUAAGCUCGAUAUCAUGCAUUAUUCAGUUAUUAUGCUUGAGUAAUCCAUGCAUGCAAAAAUCCCAAAAGAAAAGUUACUAAGCCACAAACCACAAGUCAUUAAAAAUUACAAACCAAAACUAAUAGAAUCUGAUUAAUACUUUUUAAAAAUAGUCCGAGGUCCAAGGUGAUUCUUCGAAUGCCAAGUCCGAUCCUAAUUUUGAGGUUUACACAUUCAUUUGACAUACUCAGCACGUCCUCAAUAAUCACAUACUUUUAGUAAAUGAAAACAAUGUUCCAAACUUUCAAAUUACCAUUGUGUUGGUAUUAAUCAAUAUCGUUCAAUUUCGCAUACUUUAUGAAUUUUGAUUAUGCAUAAAUAGCACCCUAUACAACAUAUAUGUAUAUAAUAUAUGCCAAGAAAAUUUAGAAAUACAAUAAAUCAACCUAAAUGAAAUCAUUCAUCAUCAUUUUUCAAGAUUUUAAAUUAUAUUUUCUCAUUCCCAUUGUCAGUGUAUUUCAACUUGUAAACAAAGAUGAUGGCUACUAUAAAUGGAAUCAUUGAUAUAUCAUGAUAUUUGAAUUUGACAACUAUUUUUAUACAUUUUAUUACCAAAAGUAAGGGUAUUAAUUUUUUAAUGUUUAAUUGUGGUUUAGAGUUAAUUUAUUUAAAGUUAAUUGUUAAUAUUAUUAAAUUCAAAUUUUCGUAAUUGUAUUAAUAGAAUAAAUUUAGUGUUAAAAGUGAGUUUAUUCAAUUUUAUAUUUAAUUUGUUAAAUGUAAUCUAAUGAUUUUUUUGUGCUCUAGUGUUGAUUUAAUUAAAGUUAAUUAUUAAUAUUAUUAGGUAACUAUGAGUUCUCAUCAAAUUAAUCCUAAAAUUCAAAUUAAAUGCUAAAAAAUUAACAUUAUUACUUUUAAAUAUCAAAAUGUAUAAAUUUUAUUAAAUAUAGAUACUAAAUCAAACAAAAAUUAUAAAUUUUGAGUCGUUGCAAAUUUUUCCAACAUUUUUGGGGUCUUGAAUUUGAUAUGCAAAAAGUUGGUGGGAAUUUUAAGUCAGCAAAUCCUUUAAAAGGGCAAUGACAUAAUUAAUUGCAUUACUUUAAUGGUUGAAUUUUCAUAGCUAAUAUGUAUGCAAAAAGUUGGUGUGAAUUUUAAGUCAGCAAAUCCUUUAAAAGGACAAUGACAUAAUUAAUUGCAUUACUUUUCAAAGAUCGACUACUGACUUUGGUGAACUUAUUUAUAGAAGGUUAAAUUCUGCUGUUGGUCACUGUACUUUACGAAAGUUGUGAAUUUAGUCUCUAAACUUCAAUUUGAUCAAUUUUAGUCUCUAUACCUUUUGAAUUUUGAAAUUUUAGUUCUAACCCAAACAGUAGCAGUUAUCAAUUUGAUUAAAUUCUAUUACUAUCGAUUUAGUCCAAACUUUCUGAAUUUUGAAAUUUUAGUCUUGAUGCAAAUGACAAUCACUGGUCUAUUAAUUGGAUUUUUAGUAAAUAAUAUGUGAAAAUAACAAGUUUGUUGACACCAUUUUUUUGAUAAAAAUGGGGUCGACUUAGAUUUUGAAAAUAAAAACGAAAAUGGGAGUCGCCACCGAUCCUUUUUGAUAAGGUGUGAUCGGGUCACCUCAAAAAGUGAUUGUUUUUAAUAAGCGAUUUGAUUUUAUUAAAACAACGAUUUUAGUCCACGAAAUUUAAAAAAAUGGGUUCGGGAGUCGGUUACGUUCAAGGAAGGAUUAGCACCCUCGUAACGCCCAAAAUUGGUACCUAGUUGAUUAAUUAAUAUCUUAAUGUCGAGAAUUGAAAACUCGAAAAGAAUUUAAAAUACAAUCAUUCCUUUUUAUUAAUGUUAAAUUUAUAAACGAUGCUUGGAUAAAUCGAGGUGGAUGCUAAAGACCUUCUUGUCUCAGAGUAAAUAAAAUGUCAAUCCAGUACGUUAGGACACAACAUUUUAAAUCCUCGAGAACAAGCUUAUCUUUUUAUUUUCAAAACUCGUGCAUUUAAAUUUCAAAAGGAUAUUCGAUUAUUUGGAUCAAAGGAGAUAAAUCGAAACCCAGUGAGUUAGGGCACGAUCAUUCAAAUUUCCCAAAUACAGAAUAUCACUUUUAUUAUUUUUUUAGGAAAAUCCUCAUCUCGGGAAAACAACAUGUCAUAUCCAAUGCGUUAGGACACAACGUAUUAGAACCCAAUACGUUAGGGCUCAAUCUUCUCGAAGAUCCAAAAUACCGAGUAUUACCCUUAUUUUCAAAAUUUUCUCUUUAUUACGAAUUUGAGUAAAAAUUGUAAAUGACAGAAUAACAAUUAUGAUAAUGUAAAUAAAUAAAUAAAUGAAUAGAAUGAAAAAAAGUAAAAAAGACAUAUAUGUAUGUGCAUAUAUAUAUAUAUAAAUUAUAAAAAAUAUAUAUGAUAUUAUAAAAAUGUAUGCAUGUAUAUAUAUUAAAAGUAUAUGUAUAUGUGUAUUUCGAAAGUAUAAAGUAUAUAAGAUAUAUAUAUGUAUAUGUUUAUAAAUUAUAAAAUAUAAAACAUAUAAGUACGUAUAUAUAUAUAAAUGAAUCAUGAAAUGCACGUGUAUAUAUGUAUAUAUUAGAAAAUGUAUGAAUAUAUAACAAAAUUUGGAAUUAAGGAUGUAAAUGAGUGAAUAAUAAUAACAAUGAAUUAAAAUACAAAAUCAAUGAUGCCAUACAAUAGUAUUAAUAAUAUCAAAAUAAUUAAUUUAAUGAUAAAAUAACUAAAACAACAAAUAGAGGAUUAAAUUAGAAACUAAACUAAAAUUUGGGGUCAAAUAAAAAUAACUUAAAGAGGGUGACUCGGGACUAAAACAAAAUGCGCUGAAGGAGCAAGGGACUUCCAGGGAAAUAUUCCCUAGUCCUGAAACGCAGCACUUCAGCAAGGAUUAAAAUGAAAUCAGAAAAAAAUUUAUGGGCCAAAAUGAAAGAAACAAAAGGGACAAAUUGCACUGAACUAUAAAAGAGGAGGGGCUGAACGCGCAAAUAGCCCCUCCAGGCAUAACACGCGGAUCCUGACCGCAUUCGGGUCGGGUCUCGGAUCGGCUCCUGGGUUUUAUGCCAAACGGUGCUGUUUUGGCCAUGGAUGCUAAGGUCCAAAACGUCGCCGUUUUUAAACUAUAUAAACACUCAAAAAAUCAACAAAAAAAAAAUUCAUCCCUUAUUUUUUUCAAAAAAACUGAGAGUCUCCCUAACUCUCUCUCAACCCCCAUCCCUCAUAUUCGGCCGACGACCUUCUUAGGCCUCCGUCGCGCCACCUCGUAGCCGGAGGUCGGCGCCGGAAAUGAAAGGCCAUUAAACCCCUUUUGUGGAGUCCUUGAGAGCCAGGCUCUCUCAACCCGCGAGGAGUGAAACAAAAGGGGGACCCUCGACCUUGGCAGACCCGACUCAACGAUGGAGGAGAGAGCCUCUGGCGGCACAGUCACGGCCAACUCCAGUGAGUCACCCUUCCCUUUUUGUCCUUUCUUUUAGUACUAGUUUUAAAAUCAGAUUUUUUAAAAAAAUGAUAAAUAAAAUAAGUAAAUAAUUCAAAAAAAAAGAAUCGGAGAAGACAGCAACCUUUGUUUCUAUUUCUGAAAUUCGUAAAAAAAUGACAGACGAAGAAUACAAUGUUAAGAUUUUGGCCUUUAUAGCCGAUUUAAAAACCCCUAAAUUUUUAUUUUUUGUCGUUUUGUUGUUUGGCCUGUUCUGCUGUUGCGUGUGGUUUACUGCCUUGCAGGUGUCAGAGGCUGACGGUCGGUGAUAGGCGAGUAACGGCCUGCGUGAGGAGUGGCAGAGGAGGCAGAACAUGCGGCGCUGGGCAUUGGGCAGAGGCGUGCGGCGCUUUGGGGUUUGCUCUUGGCUGAAAUUGUUUAAGUUGUGGGGCAGUCGAGCCACUAGGGUUUUUUUUUAUUGGGACGUUUGGGCCAUUGUAAUUUUGGGUUUAAGUUUGCUGUAAAUGGACUGGAAUAGUUUUUAUUUUUUAGGCCCGGGCCAAAAUUGGGCCUUACAAAGUCGAUAUGACAUUACACAAAUGAUAAUAUGUUUGUCACACCAAAUUUUAGAGAUAGCAGAACUUAAUGAAUUUAACAAAUAUCGUUUACGGUGAUUGAAAUCUUAAAAUUUGAAAAGUACAAUAACUAAAAUAUCAAAUUAACUUAUAGGGAUUAAAUCCACAACUUCAAUAAAAUACAGGAAUUAAUGGUAGAAUUUAACCUUUAUAUAAUAAUUUCCUUGGUGAAAAAAACGCACAUUAUCAUUUCCUUGAAUGAACUUCAAUUUGUCCAUUGAGAUAUAAUCGGAGGGAGUGGAAUAUAUAUAAGAUAAUAUUUGAUGUAUUCGGUAAAUGGAGAAUAUUAAAUAGAGUGAGCAAGCCAUUCGCCUCACGGAACACAUUAACGAAAGACACAAGCUUAAUACAGUCACUAAAUCCAUCAAUUUCAUUAACAACCUGCUAAUAAUUCAAGACAAUUGUUGGGUCCGGAUGGAUUAUAUUUUAAAAUUUUCUUUCAAAAUACAGAAGUUCCUUUGACAAAAAUGAAAAUAUUAUUUAAUUAUAGGGUUAGUAAUUAGUACACUGAUAAUCUACUUAAUGCUAUUGAUUUUUUUUUAAUAUUAUACAACACCUUUAUAAAACACGUGUCAACCCUCUGACUCUGCUUAUGAAAUUUAAAAACUUCAAUGACAAUGUACCAACUAUUAUUCUUAAUUAUUAUACUAUUCAUGAUUUAAGGACAAAGAUCAAAUACAAUAUUUGCUUAAAAAUCUCUAAUAUAUAUGUAUAUAUAUAUAUAUAUAUAUAUAUACAUUUGCUCACUUAUUGUGAUGUAAUAUAGCACCAUCCAGCUAACCCUAGCUUUCUAGCAAGUAGUCGGAGGAAAUUAUUGAGAAAAUAUCAUUAAAUAUAUCAACAAUAAUUGCACUAACUUUCCGAUGUUAACUACUGACCUUUGCGUCAACCUUGAGCUUAUAUAGGCCCCCUACAAUAAUUUAGGCUAUGGAAAUAAUCUUACAAUUAAUGCCUGAGAAAUAAUUAUAGAUCAAUUUAUAGUUUUAAUCCCUAUAAUUACUCAAUUGAAUUAAAAAUUUUGUUAUUCUUAUUUAAUUUAAUUUGAUAUAUUCUGUUCCUCUUAUUAAUGUUAAUGUUUAGAGUCCCCGCUUGUACAUUGGUGAUUAGGUCUCUCACCAUUAAAUUAUUCUCUUAAGAACCUAACCUGCAAAUUCAUAACAUAAAAAAUUUACAGUCAAAUGUAAUCACACAAAUGACAUUCCUCACUUAAACAGAUUAAGUCGUUGCAAAUAUCUAAACAUAAUCAAAGUCGUCGUUAUGGCCCCAAGAGAAGGCACGUUAACUUGUCUCUCUCACACAUAGGAUGAAAUUAGUCUAAACCUAACCUUGGUAGAGCCGACCAUGUCGGGCAGACCACCCUACAUAAAUCUGAUUAUUUUAUCAUAGUUUAUUCAUCACUGAAGGAAGUAUGCAAAAUUAGGCAUACCAUUUAUCCUCACCUCUCUCGCUGACAAAAGAUUCAUGUUAAGUAUAUUCACCCUACAUAAAUUAUCAAGAGGAAUCACAGAUUUAAGGACCGUGGAAAAGAAUUCCAGAACCAGUUAUAUACAAGCAGGGCCUAUGACAUCCCCACUAAUUCUCAAUCAUAUAAAAUAAUAUAUAAUUAAUUCGUCUGGAAUGUUUAAGGCAUGGUGGUGAAUAUAUCAUGAGCGAUGUUGCUGAGUUUCUUCUGAAGAAUUGGCUAGCUAUUAGUGUCUAAAGGAUCUUUAGUUAUAUGGGGCUUAUGUUUCGGUUGCUUGAACAAUUGCUUUUCAGAGGGCAGAAUAGUAGAGGGGGGUUUUGGGGGUCUGGUGGUAUGGAGUUAUGAUGUUAUCAAUAUGAGAUUUUGGUGAUUUGUACUUGAUAAAGGGACACUUUUCGUGAGGGAUUGCUACAUUUUGCAGAUUAUAACAUUGUUUACAAGUGCUUAAAAUGUGUAAUAAUUUGAUCGAGAGAAAAAAUGACCAAAACAAAUGUUCUCAGCAUUUUUGCUUCAUUUAGAACUUGUAAUUAAUUUUUUUUAUCAGAGAAGUUGUAAUUAAUUGGAUUUGGAAUGAAUUGAUAAUAUCCUUACUAUUUCACCUUUUUUAUAUGUUUGGCGUGUGAGUAUGAUACAGAUUGAACUGGUUUUUAAAGUAGAAAUAAAACGAUAACAAACCAAAACAUUCUGGUUUUCAAAAUUUUGAAUCCAAAUCAAUCGAAUUAGUUUAAUUAUAAUUGAAUGUUUUAUGUGUUAUGAUGAUGAAGGAAGUUGAUGAGGUGACUUGCUUCAUCUUUCAAAAUAUGAGGUUCGUUUGAAGUUCUCUUUGACACAUCUUUACUAUUGUUUUUUAAUAACAAAUGAAAAGUCAAUUUAAAAAACAAAAAUCCAAACCAAUGAAUUUCUUUUAUACAUAUAAGAUAAGCUUACUGCAAAGCUCUUGUUUUUUCAAAAUAAAAUUUUGUUUUUGUUUUAUUAAUUUUGUAUGAAUCAAAUGAAGUUUAAUUUUUUUAAGGGUAAAUUAAACCAACAGUAACUCAACUUUGAUGCAGCUGACAAAAUAGUUGAUUUGGUUUCAAUUCAGUCACUCAACUUUCAAAAAAUAACAAAUCAGUCACUAACGUUACCAAAAAGUGACAAAUCAAUCACCCAUUAACAUUUUCCGUUACAGACCUAACGGGACAGGUGACAUGGCUAGUUAACUUGCCACGUUGACAUGGCAAUGCAUUUAAAAUUGGUCUAAUUAAGAAUUUGGUCAUUGUACAUUAUGAAAACAUAAAAAUUAUUUCAAUUGAGUAUCAAUAUUAAAUCUUGUCCAUUGACCCAAAAAUCAUCAUUUCAACAAAUUGUAUGUAAGAAAUUAGUGAAAAUCAACAAUUCAGUAAUUUAUAUCAAAAUUGAGGACUAGCUUUUCAUUUUUUUGUAAAUUACAUGGAUGACAUUCACAAUUAGACCUAAAUAGUGACAAAUUACAAAUUUAAACCCUAAAUACCUUUGUUCAGAGGAUCCGUAGCCAACAGAAUCAAUAAAACCGAUGGAGAUGAAACUCAUGCAUUUGGCGUGAAGAUGAAACUGGACAGAGUAGAACUCGCAUUGUUCGUCACCGUUGCAGGUGUCACAGUCACACGAGAAUCGCAUCGACAUGGCGCGUCGGCUAGUGAGAGGGAUUAGAUCAAGUCGAUGGGCAAUGAACUUGUCGUUGACGACGGAAGAGUUAACUUCAAUUUUGACGAGGUCGAUGGCUAUGUUGGGAACCUCGGCUAUCAUGACACGAUGGAGGGCAUUGGCCAUGGAGGCGUUGGUGUCAUGGCAGCAUAGUUGUCUUUGAGUUCUCGGAUUUUGACCCUUGGGAAUCGCUAGUAUGAAGCUCCUUCCAUUUUCUCUUCUUCUCCAUUUCUUCUCUUCUUCUUCUUCUUCUUCUUCUUCUACUGCCCAAGGCUCUUAAAUGGGGUUGUUUAAAUGACAGCUAGCCUACCGUUAAAUGUCAUGUCACUUUUCUGUUACAAACGUAACGGAAAAUGGUUAAAAAGAUUGAUUUGUUAUUUUUCAAAAAUUAAGUGAUUGAAUUGGAACUAGAGUGACUGUUUUGUCAAUUGCAUCAAAGUUGAGUGAUUGUUGUUGCAAUUUACCCCUUUUUUUUUAAUAGAGAUAAGCUUUGUGGUGGAAAUUUGUUAGGAAAGGAUGAUUGUAGGAAUGGUCCACAAAAUUAAUUGCAUUCCCUUUUCUUGAUGAAUUCUUAUCUUUGGGUCAACUCUUAGCUUAAAUACACUGCUAAAUUUAUUUUAGGUUGUACAAUAUAAAUGGAGCAAUUGAUGUCAGGAGAUAAGUUGGAAGUACAAUUAAAUUUUUUCAUAAGAGGAGAUGGGAUGAGAAGAUUUGAACCCAACAAUUAUUGGAAUUUAGAUUAUAAAAUUGGCGUGAAAUCAUGAAUUUAGAUUAUAAAAUUCUUUCCAUUUUAAUAAUCAUUUUAGAACUAGUUUGGUUUCCAAUCUAUAUUUUGUGUUGUGUUUUGUUUAUGUCAAAUUUUAAAGUAAAACUUUGAAAGUUAAAAUACAUUCUAAGUCCCUAUACACUUUGUACUUUUAGAAUUUAGUUCUCCUAGUUUUUAUUUUUAUGAAUUUAGUCUUUCUAUUUUUUGGUUUUCAAAAUUCAAGUCCCCAAUUAUUUUCACUGUUAAAAUUCUUCUAUUAAACUCACUAGUGUCACCUUUUGAAAUUACCAAAAAAAAAAUCAUUUUGUAGUCAUGUAAUAAUAAAGAAUAACGUUAAAAAUAAUGAUGUGGAUUUUUAUUUAAAAUACUCAUCCAAACUGAUCAUGAUAAAAUGACUUUUUUUUUUGUUGGAAUAGUGUUUUUAAGAAAAAUUGACGUCAAUAUUUUGAUUGGAAUAGUUUACAAUGUUAAUUAUUUAGACUAACUAAUGACAUUACAAAAAUAAAAUAAUGAAAUUAUGCCAAAAAUUAAGGAAUAUAAAUUAAAUCUCAAGUUUUAACAUAAUAUAGGGGCUAAUACUAAAAUUUGACCAUUAAUUUCCAUGUAAUAUAAAAUAAAAAUAAAAAAGUUGUGUGAAGCAGCCCAAGCUUAUGACAGAAAAAAAAAAACACGGCCCAAAGCUAAGGUUACGUGUUAGAAAGGGAAUGUCAUGAUAGGGGUGAGUAUUCGAUCAAGUCGAGUUAAAUUGAGUCAAAAAAGUUUAAGUUAGUCGAGUUUACGAAUCCUAUUUUAGUAACCGAACUCAAUUUGAAUUUUUUUUCUGAAUCAUAUUGAGUCAAAAAGUUUCGAGUCAAGUUGAGUCGAGCUAAAGAAUCCUAUUAUUUAUACUCAAAACUUAUAUUUACAUGGACCGAUUAUUUAACUAGUAGAUGAAGUACAAGAUUAUUUAACUACAUAAACAAUAUAAUGGUUUUGCCUUUUAACUUAAUGAGUAAAUAUUUAUCAAAACGAUAUAGUUUUGUCUUUUAAUUUAAUAGUUUUGACUUUUAACUUUGGAAAAGAUAAAUUCAGAUUUUCAGAUAACUCGAAUUGUGUAAUUCAUAUUCAAGUUGAAUAUAAAAACUUAAUUUUUUUAUUCGGGUUGAUCCGAAUAACUUGAUUAACUCAAAUAACUCGAACUAUUUAAUUCAAAAUUUAAAAUUUUUAUCAAAAUUUUCAGAUCAAAUCGAAUUUUGCUCACCCCUAGUAUUGGACAUUAUUUUUAUAUACGGGUGUAUAUAUAUGUGUGCGUGUGUGUGUUUGAUGUGAUUUCCUUGUGAGUUCCAUCUAUUUUUAGAAGUUUUUCCACGUAAAAUAUGUGUAUUUAAUAUUUUCAAUUCUUUUAUUAUUCUACUUGCUCGUUGCAAAUACGUUUGAUUCACAACAUUUUAACCUAAACUUAAUUGUAAAUGAUAAGAGAUAUUUUACGAUUAAAUAAAAAAAUUUAAACCACUAAACCAUUACCCUAAUAUGUCAAAACACAUGCAUUUUUUAAUUUCAAAAUUUAUGAAUUCCGAAGUAAAGAGCAUACGAUAUUUAUAUUAAUGUAAGAAAUGUAGGCUUGCUAAGUUUCGCAAAAUCAUAUUACACUUUUAAUUGAAUAUAAUGGUGGGAUGAUUCAAUUAUUAAAAACUAAGUUCGGGCAAAAAUGUAAAAAUAAUCUAAAAUUAAUUGAAUUAUUAUAAUAAAUUUAUAUAACUUAUGGAGUGAACCAAAUCAUGACAUAAUAUCAAAAAUAAUUAAGACAUGUCAUAUUACAAAUAAUAAAAACUCAACUUUAUAAGCAUAUCAAAAUUUAUUAUCAUGGCGUAUAAUAUGUUAUGAAAAAAGAAAAAAGAAAAAAGAAAAAAGAAAAAGAAGAGAGACAAUCGCUUCAUCAUGAGAUAUAAGCCCUUGAAACCAAAAGUUAGUUGAAGCUGUUAGGAUCGACUCAAUUAAGCAACAAGUAACAAAAAAUAGUGGAGUAAAUUGAGAAAUUGAACACACAAAUUUAACGUGGAAAACCCCUCCAAAGAGGAUAAAAACCACGGGCAAAAAUAAUUUUACUAUAAUGACAAAAGAAUGAAGAGUACAAAAGAUGGAGAUAAAAAGCUAAACCCCAAAAAACCCCAAAAACAAAGAACCCUCAAAACGUAAACACAAUGUAACGCCCCAGAAUUUUUAUUUUUGUUCUUGCAAAGGUAUAACACAAUUGUGUAUCUACUUUAGUGGUUAAGUGUUUUGGGUGUAUGAGAGGUCUCAAGUUCAAGCCAAGACUUGGCGAAAUUUUGGUAUUUUUAUGAAUAAGCUCUAUCUUUGGUCAGUAGGCUUUUAAGUAAGAGUCGACAAAUAAUUAAAAGAAUGAGCUUGUUCGUUUGGUGGAUAAGUGGAGUGUUGGUGUGAAGGAGGUUUUGUGUUCAAUUCUCUAUGGUGGCAUGGAGAUAGUAUUUUUGCUCCAAUUUUGGCUAAGAGUUGUGUUUGGGCAAAAUUCUGAGUAGUUGUGUUUUAGUGGGUUAAUAGGGAGUGAUUUUUGGAAAUAAUGGGGGAGAGGUUAUCAGAAAAUAAUCUGAUUGUCUUUUUAUUGCAUAAAAAAAGUAGAGUUUCGGUUUUCUCUCCAAUUACCCAAACUUUUUCUGACGUUUUCUUCUUUUUUUUCCCUCCGCUGUCGAUUCUUUCCCCUAGUUGUUGCCAAAAUUUCCAUUAUUUUUUCCCCUUCCAUUUCUUUCUUUUAUUUUCCAAUUGAUUUGGUUGUUUAUCGUUGGUUGCGUGUGUUCGGUAAGUAACGGUUUUGUCUAUUGUUAAUUGUUCUUAGUUAAUCUCUGAAAGGGGGAUUCCUUUUUGGUGUUUCGGAGUUAAUCAAGGGGCUAGUGGUUAUGAAUCGAUGCUGUGAUUGUGUGAAGUCAUGAUUACUCAAGCGAGGUAAGGGUUUUGUUAGGUUUUUAGUUGAGUUCCUUCCAAAAUUGGUUAAUUAAAAAUGAAUUAAGUGAUUAAUCUGGAGAUUUGUUGGUCGAUUUUUAGGUUAUGGAGGCUUAGGAGUGCUUACGCAUUAGAAAUGAUACCAGGUGUGUACCCGAAAAGCAGAAAAUGAGAUUCGGCGAAAAGCAUAAAUUGCUUGCUAUUUGGACAGCAGCAGUGGGCUAACUUUAAAAAAUCAUCAUAAAUUGUGAAAAUUGAAUUAAAGGAUGAAAAAAGUAUGGAAUUAAAUAUUAUUGAGUCUAGUUUCUCAUAGAGAAAUGGUGUAAGUAAUGGAAUUGUAAAUCGUGAGAUAUAAUAAAUUUUGUGAGACAAGGUCAGAAUGAAUUCAGGUUUCCCUUUUUUGACUUUGGAAAAUCAUUAAAAAUUGUAUAAAAAUGAUUAUGGGUUAAAAUUUAUAUGAUUAAAAUUCUUAAUGAGUAUAUUUUCAAGAGAAACAAACCUUAACAUCAUCUGAAUCUCGUACUAAGAGAUAAUUAAUUUUUAGAGAAGAAGGGUCGAAAUUAUCAGACAGCAGAACAGGGACAAUUUUGAAGAAUUAACUGUACUCAUUGGCUAAACCAAAAAUUCUAAAAAUUUUAAGGUAAGAAGAUAUGUGAGUCUGUUUUUCGGGAAAAUCAAGCGGAUCUUAAUUUUGAAUUCUGUAGCUCUAGUUAUAAAUAAUUUAGUGACAAUGACUCAAGUAGACAACUCUGAAUGAUCAUAUUAGUAAAUAGUGGAAACAUAUAUGAAUAUUUAGCUAGCAUGGGUUACAUUAAAAAUGGAUCACACGGCCAAGGCCAAUUUGGGCCGAGUGGGCCACGCGGGCACAUGGGCGUGUGGGUCCAUUUUUACCAAAAUGUUUCUAAGGCUGCACAGGUUGCCCAAGUCGACUGUGAACCUACUGUAAGGUCGGUAAGUGCUACUUAAACCCCUAAAUGUGUGAAAUUGACUGAAUGAUAUUUGUACUGAGCAUGUUAAUAUCUAAACUGAAUAUAUGUACUGAAAUUGCAUAAUAGCAUAUCAUCCAUGGUAUGUUGCAUUGCAUUGGGUUGAGGGUUGUUAUUUGGAGGAAAUGUACUAAAAGGCUUUAAGCCUAAUUUACUGGAAUCUUAGCUACAAACUACUGUUUUGUGCCGCAAUAUUCAAUACUACUUGAAGUGUAGGAAUGGGUGGGUUGAUUAUAUCCCCACAUGGUGUGUAGAGGCUGGUUGGCAAAUGGAGUUUUAGUAAGCACAAGCAUCGUCAUCUGUCCAUCAUAACUUGGAAGACAACAAAGAUACUCAUAAAAUAGAUCUGCAAACUGAAAAGAGAGAAGUCAUGUGGAGUGAAUAAGAAGAAGAAAGAAAAAAAGGUUGGUGGGAGGAAGAAAAAGGGUCGCGAUAGCCAAUCCGAAGGUUGUCAAUGCCAUUGGGCAAAAUAAAACAUAAUAAACAAACGGCUUGGAGAAAAAAAUUAAGAAAGAAGAAAAAAUUUAGGCAAAAUUUAUAUUAAUGUAAGAAAUGUAGACUUAUUAUGAUAUUACAUUUUUUAGUGUGAUCAUUCAAUUAUUAAAAAUGUAUUUAUAACAAAUUAUGUAAAAUUUUAUAUAAGCAUAUAAUAUGUUAUGCAAAGAGAAUCACUUUUCUUAGUUGAAUUGUUAUAACACAUUAUACAAAAUAUAUUUUAAAUUAAAGCAUAAUGUGAAUACGAUACCAACCAACAAAUUAAAUUCGAUGAUUUAUGGAUAAUUACAUUUAUUACUCAAUUUAAUUUAAUUCAAAGAGCUAUUGAAUACACAUAACAAUUAAUUAUGAUUAAACUUUAAAUUUCACAGAAAAUAAAAAGAAAUAGAUUGUUGAAAAUGAUAAAAUGGAAAGAUAAAGCUACAAACUUCCUCCCCACAAACCUAAGAGCUUUUUAUUCAAAAUGCAGAAAUCAACAAAAUAGUCCUCACAAUCCAACUUAGCAUAGUAAAACAAUUAGGUGGGGAAAUCAAAUAGUAAAUUCCUUUUUCCUUGAAUCAACACCAACCGACUUUGUUGAAAUCUUCACUAUAGCUAAUCACAUUGCCUGAAGAUGUGAUAUGUAAGAAAAUUGGCCAUUGUUGAGUAACGACAGGUUGUGAUGCACUUUCCAAUAAAAGAAAACCAAACACUUCGCCAAUAAGGAUUUAUGUAAAGAACAACAAAAAUUGUCAAGACCACAACUAUAUAAGAAACCAGGAAGCUCACACAAAAAUCAUAUGUGUCUAGCAAACUGUCCUCUCCUUCAUCAUCUAACGAAUUUGAUCUAGUUGAUGGUGCAUCUGGUUUGGAGCAACUUUUAUGCAAAAUAGUUCCACAAAGAAAAGGGUUUCCCUCGUAACUACUUUCAAUAAAGGUCCCAAAUUGAGCUUUUGGUUCAGGAAUACUACCUGACAAGUUGUUGUGUGCCACACUAAAAACUUCCAAAGAGUUCAACUCUACCAACUGAUUGGGGAUUUCACCACUCAAGUUGUUGUAAGAAAGGUCCAAACUCUCAAUUUGAUGAAGUUUUGAGAAUGAUGAAGGUAUAACUCCGAUCAACUUAUUGUGUGACAAGUUUAAAGAAUAGAUUUCACUUAAGUUCCCUAAUUCUGGUGGGAUAUGACCAGUUAAGUUGUUGCAAGAUAAAUCAAUCCCGGUCAUAUAUGCAAGGAUGUUGCCCUCGUACGAAUACAACCCACUCUUUGUUGUGAACUCUAUUACUUCUUCUAAAUUCUAUUACUUCUUCUAAGUAGCUGUCAGGGUAGUAAGGAUUUAUAUCCCUUUCCAAUUUUCUCAUCGCAAUGGAUGUUGAUUCAUCCUUUUCUGUAAAUGGAAGAUAGAACCCAGUUGCUAGACUCUCUUUCUCUUUCAUUGGAAGAGAUAAAUUUCCCAAACAAGAAGGUAUAGGACCAGAAAACAUAUUUUGAGAAAGAUCUAUGAUGCUUAAAGAAUACAACUUGCAUAACUGAAUUGGAACUUUGCCAUGAAAAUGAUUAUCUUUCAAGAGAAGAACACUCAAAGAAGAAAGUGUGUCAAUCCAUUUUGGCAUGCUACCUGUCAAAUUUUUUUCUCUAAGAUCUAAAGUCACUAGUGAAGAGCUAUUAUAAAAAGCAAGUGAUAGUGGACCUCUCAGUCUAUUCCCGUGGAGGUGGACAUGCUUUAUGUUUGGUGGAUUAAAACAUGACGGUAUAGAGCCAGAUAAAUUAUUUUGAGAAAGAUCCAAAAACUCCAACCAAUUCAAGUUGCAAAAUUCCAUUGGAAUAGAACCCUCGAAACCAUUGUUGGACAAAGCCAAUCUCAAUAAAAAUGAUGCAUUCCCUAUCCAUCUUGGGAGCUUUCCAUGCAACUGGUUGUUACUGAGAUCAAUAUCGCUUAGUGAAUUUGGAAACUCAAAAGUAGACACAUCAACAUUUGUCACCUCUCCUGAAAAUUUAUUUCCAUCCAAAUAUAAAUUCUGCAGCCCAUUUGCUUUGAGAAUCGCAGGAACUACAUUUCCACUGAAGUUGUUAUUUGAUAGUCUCAAAAUGGUCAGUGAGCCUUUCGUGAUCAACUCUUCUGGUACUUUUCCAUACAAUUGAUUGUUUGAUAGAUCUAAAAUUGAUAAAUCCUUCAUGCCACUUAAACAAAGUGGGAUAUUACCUUCAAAAGCAUUCUUGGAUAAGAAU